RNAcentral lists this ribosomal RNA (798 nucleotides) under Triticum aestivum (bread wheat). Its description in RNAcentral is "partial small subunit ribosomal RNA". The record is from RNAcentral. Lineage: Eukaryota; Viridiplantae; Streptophyta; Magnoliopsida; Poales; Poaceae.
AUGGCGUCAGGUGCACCUGGUAUCAUGCUCCGACACCUUUCCAAAACACUUGCUGUAAGCCCAGCAGUGGCAUCUGGUAUGACCAGCCAGCAUCACCAGCUUCAACAGCGUGCACCAGUGGGUGGCACAUCCAAAGGCAAGGCUAAGCUCAAAGCCGGCCUGCCUUUGAAGCGCAGCGUCAUAGCAAAGAAGGGGGGCGCGCCUGCCACUGCUGGGAGCGGUGGUGCUGGCCGUGGUCGUCGUGAAGCCAUUGAGCGCAUUACUCAGAUUGCAGAGUCUUGUCUGAAGUCCUCUACUCCUCUACGGCACUUGUCCCCCAAGGAGUGUCUUCGCGAGGCAAAACGUGAGGAGCUUGGACUCAUCUCCAAGGAACGACAACGUGAACUUGAUAUUGCCAAGGCUAAAGCCAAGUCCAAAGGUACCAUUGGAGGUGAUGGUGGCCGUGUUCUGAUGGGUCCACCUGGCCUUGACUAUAUCAGUCUUGGCCUUGUAGAUGAGAAGACCAUCCCUACUUAUGAGCUGACAGUUGAGGAUGGUCGGCGUCUUGCCAAAGAAUACAGCCGUGUGCUAAUGCAACGACACCGUGCACGCCAAACUGCGGAAUCAACACUUUUGAGCCUCAAGAAGGAGGCCGUUGCUGCACUCCCCGAGAAGCUGCAAGCUGCUGCUAUGGUUCCUGACAUGACACCAUUCCCUGCAAACCGGUACAUGGCAACACUCACGCCACCAAUUGAAGGGUAUAUUGAAAAGGUGCGAGAUGCUGCCAAGAAGUAUUCUGUGAAAGAGAAGCUUCGCUGA